This 496-nucleotide ribosomal RNA is filed under the name uncultured bacterium. Its description in RNAcentral is "partial 16S ribosomal RNA". It matches the Rfam family "Bacterial small subunit ribosomal RNA", at positions 28 to 506 of the family's 1533-position model. The record is from RNAcentral.
GAUGAACGCUGGCGGCGUGCCUAAUACAUGCAAGUCGAGCGAACGGACGAGAAGCUUGCUUCUCUGAUGUUAGCGGCGGACGGGUGAGUAACACGUGGAUAACCUACCUAUAAGACUGGGAUAACUUCGGGAAACCGGAGCUAAUACCGGAUAAUAUUUUGAACCGCAUGGUUCAAAAGUGAAAGACGGUCUUGCUGUCACUUAUAGAUGGAUCCGCGCUGCAUUAGCUAGUUGGUAAGGUAACGGCUUACCAAGGCAACGAUGCAUAGCCGACCUGAGAGGGUGAUCGGCCACACUGGAACUGAGACACGGUCCAGACUCCUACGGGAGGCAGCAGUAGGGAAUCUUCCGCAAUGGGCGAAAGCCUGACGGAGCAACGCCGCGUGAGUGAUGAAGGCCUUCGGAUCGUAAAACUCUGUUAUUAGGGAAGAACAUAUGUGUAAGUAACUGUGCACAUCUUGACGGUACCUAAUCAGAAAGCCACGGCUAACUACGU